CGGACGGCUCGAAUCUCCCCUCUCUCCCUCUCGUGCACUAACUAAGGCCGAAGCCUCCAUCUCACGCCCAGCCCCCCCGUUAGUUCGCAGAGCCCAGAGAAGCCAAGGCACGAAACUCCUUCUCUAUUCCGACCUCCCUCUCUCGUUCUCUCCCGGUUCGUGAGAAGCCCAGGCGAACCCUUCUCUAGGUUCGCAAGGCAGCCACCCGGAUCCCCUCUUCUCCCGUCUCCUCUGGGUUCAGACAAGACCCGACACCGAGCCCCCUGGCUCUGCCGGAUUCGCAUGCCCAGAGUCAGACCCGACGAUCCGGCUCCGCCUCCCCAGCCGAGCCCGAGUUCCCGCCGCCUGCUCUCCCUCCGACCCGACGCCAAGGCCGAUACCUUAAAUUCCCGUCGCUCCUCCCAUGCUAGAGCCGAUGACCUCCUGCUUCUUCGUCUCUUACCCUAACCGAGCCCAACGCCAAGUCCCGACGACGAUUUAGGCAUGUAUACCUCUUUCAUUUACUCUUCUUCUUCUUCUCCUACAUUCUCUUAUACUCAGCCUAUUUCUUCAAAAAGAGAGCAUUAUAGAUCGAAGUUUUAGAUCUAUUUUACUUUGAUCUUUUGUCUGGAGAUGAGAUGAUGGUGACUUAUAAUUUCAUUUCUUUCCUAUAUGCUCAUUGAAUGAUUUCUCUAAUUUUUGCUACAUAAAUAUGAGUCUCUUUCUUGUUCACGAUCAUGUCCAUGCUUUAGAUGUUAUAUGGAUGCCCAUGGUGUGGGUUGAAUAAAAUUUGGUUAUCUUCCUCUGUUAUUGUUUGCGGUGAGAUGACUAUAGUUGAGAUAUGGUUUCUUUUUGUAGAGGUAAAAAAAAGAGAUUUAUAUACUCUCUCGCAGCGGUGUUAAAGAGAAGUUGUUGGUGCUAUUGGAAUUGCAUUGGUUUUAUAAUAUGUGUUGAAGGAUGAUUUAUAUUUUGAUGCAUACUACAUUCACAUAUGAGAAAAUUUCAAUAACCCUUCCAGACAUUGACAAUGUUAGUGGUUAUAUAAUUUGGAAAGAAGUGAUGACUAUCCGUAAGUCUUUCAUAAAGUAUUUUUGGAGAAAUGUCGGAGAGUGUUGUGCUUAUUCCUACACUUUUGGUGGGCAUGCAUAAGUUUAGAGGUGUUAGGGAAUGUUCAUGAUCUUCAAAUAUGAGUUUUUUUUAUAGCUUUAAGCGUAGUUUUACUCUUUGUUGGUGGAAGUAUCUCCUUGAAUUUCGAAAAGAGAUGAAAUGGCCUUGAGUUACACUUCUACUUCCAAUUUCACUUGGAGGAUAGCGAUAGGAUGGAAUAUAAACGUUUUCUAGGUUCGUCUUUACUCAUUGGAGCCUUAUAUGAAAAGCAUGUGGGCAAUUACAUGAUAAUACCUCUUUUGUUGAAUUUUGAGAGAAUAAAUUUGUAUCAAAACUUCUUUUUCACAAUUGCAUUUUGGCUGAAGUUUAAUGUCAAAUAAGUUGUUUGUUUACUACUUGAUUCGGAAAGGCAUGGCUUUGAGUUUUCGCUCUAAAAAUAUACAUAGUUUUCAUCUAUCUCAUUAUGUUAAAAUAAUUUCAUGAGUUACUUUUGAGAUGGAAAUUCUAUGACUUGUUUUAUGCCAAAAAUCCUAUUAAGUUCUCUUAUGGUUGGAGAGUUUUGUAGAGUACGCCAUGUUGGAGAGUAUCUUUUGGGUUUAGAUAUUGGAAGGCACCCAUCGGUUUUAUGUUUUGUAUGAAAGUUGUAUGUACGAAUUUAAUGCAAUGACGCUAUCAAACUUCAUCUUUUGGUGAGUUUCAUAAGUGUUUAAGGAGAAAAUUUGGAAGUAGUUGCAAAACCUAUUGUGUACGUUUGUGACCCAUUGGAAUGAAAAUGAAGGUGGAAUAGUUUAUGAUGUCUCAUGUGGUGAUUGGAGAAAUGAAAACGAAAAUAAUAUUUUGCAUCAAGGGGAAGUUGUUGGAAAGUGAUUCAUAUUGUGAUUGGGGCAUUGUUUUUUUUAACAUUUUAGAGAAGUGGAUUAGCUCCAAAAUCUCUCUCUUCUUAUUUGUAUUUGGUUCAAGAAGUGUUGAAAUAAAAUGGCGAGAUUUCUCUGUGCUCUCUUGGAUGUCUGGUGGCAUGUAACAUAAAAAAUAAGAAUUUGUCAAGGGAUUUCAUGAAUCAUUUUGUGACUUAAAGGCUUCUAUGAUUUAUGUUACAUUAAAAGAUUUGUGACUUCGCUUCAUGUUAGCUGUUUUUCUAGGAUAUUAUAAAGAGUGACAUAGUAUCUAGCUUUCUUCCUUAUGAUUACAAGUUAAAUUGAAAUAUUUGUUCAUCACUUGAUUUUGGAAAAGUAUAACUUUAUUCUUCUUCUUUUUUUAAUGUAUAUUACUUAAUGGUCACAACCAUGGUAGAUUUGAGAAAGACAAUUUUGGCAUGCGCUUCAUGUAGUGUAUUAUAUUGUUGUCUUUGUGACUUCAUUAGUAUAAGCAUUCCUCUGGUUCUCUUUUCUGUAUAUAUACUUGGGUGCUUUCUUACUAAAUUGGUUAUAUGAAUCGUGAAAGUUUAUGUAUGUAAAUUAUUGAUGAGUUCGCAUCAUAUGAAAGUUUUAUGGGUUGCCCAAUGUUGGGAAAGACUUUGGUUUUCUUAUGUUAAAAGAUUUAUGAUUGGCUUUAGACUUGUUUUAUAUUGGAAAGAUUUAUGAUUUGUUUUAUAUCAUGAAGACUUGUGAUUUGCUUCAUAAUUGGAAAUAUUUAUAAAUGGCUUUAUGUUAAAGUUUCAUUAAUUGUCUUGCGUUGAGAAAUUUUGUGAUUUUGUUUCGUGAAAGUCUCUUGAUGGAGGGCAUUAUAAUGCCUAUUCAUUGAGGAACUUCCACAUGUUAACCUCACGCCAAACUUGAAAAGCACUUGAUUGAUUUUGUGUCAAAAGGAGUUUUGGUGUUUUGGUUUCUUUUCGUUAAGGGGCUUUAUGUCUUAUUUCAUUUUUUUUAGAGAAGUUUCAUAAGAUAUUUCUUUGGGGUCGAGAGCUUAGUGAGGUGGAUUUUUGUUAGAAAUUUCUCUAGAUCUUUCUUUUUGGGAUGAAAUGAUUUAUCUUGCAUAAGUUAUCUUUUUUUUUUUUCAUUAGUGUUUGCCUCUAAAAUGUAAGGUUGGAAGAACGUGGGGGAUAGAAAGAGAUAUUGUUUUAGUUCUAGUUUUAGGAAUUGGAAUUUCCCCUGUUGCCUUGAGUUUGUUUUUGAGAAUAGUUUGUGUAGUCGAGUCGGGUACGUAUCAAGUGUUGAGUUGGGAUUGUGGGAACAGUAAAGGGCAUUGUAAAUGCCUUCCUUCCCAUUCAUAUUAUAUCGAAUCGGGGAGGAGACUAUUUUAAAGACACACUUGGCUUCAAAGAAGUAUGUUUAAAACAACAAUACCUAUAUUCCUUUUCUUUCUGAUUUUUAUUCUUUUCUUUCUAUCGUGUUUUCUCAUUCUUUUUCUUUACUUCUUGCUUUCCUACUAUUUUGUUACUUAGUAUCGUAUUUUCAUGCGUAAAUCCCUAAACAUAGUGACACAUGUACGAAAGUCCUAAGGGUUAGAAAACAAAACCUCUUUUAAUCCUACGACUUUAGUGACACUUAAGGACAAAAAUUAAGGAUCGAGUCUUAGAAAACAUAGACUUUAGGGUGCAUGCUCCUUAUAUGAUAGAGACAUUAAAACAAAAACUUAGUGACACGCUUUCCUAGGUUUAGUUCUUCUUAAUCCGCUAAUAAUCAACUAACCAUCUAAUCAGUGUUAUAUGUUCUAUAAUUGCAAACUUUAAAUUUCCUGCCAGUUAUAUUCUUUUAUAUUUACCUACAUUUCUUUUCUGAAUGGCAUCUACGCUCAUAUAUCUAUUUUUCUGUUAUCUUAUUUUGUGAGGUACAUCGGAGCUUAAUGAUCGAGGAGCGAGCGACACCAUUUGCUUAUAAGCUUUUAAGUGGCAGCGCCAUAUACAGUCAGGUCCUAAAUUUUUUGGGAGAUCACAAACAUAUGUUAAAAAACCAAAAAGAGUUCCUUCUACUCACAGCUUGUUGUGCUACUUAUUAUUUUUGGAGGGAAAGGAAUGAAAGAAGGUUCAAUUUUAAAUUUAGAAGUACAUCCUCUCAUUGCUCGGACAUUAAAUCUGCUGUUGAUGCCAAGAUUUCAACCUGGAAGCACUCAGAAAAUCUGAGAAUUCCAUGGCAUGUUUGACGGAACUGUAGUAUUUUCUGUUUUUGGGUAAUUCACUUCGAAUGUUGUCACAGCAGUUUGAAGGUUUCUUUUGGGUUGUUGCUACUAUAGUAAUUUCGCUGAUUUUGUCUUGGUUGGGUUGGACUGCUGUGUUGGAGGGGUGGUUAUUUGGUUUGCCUUCUUGGCUGGCUGGAACUCUUUCUCUGGUCUCGUCCAUGAUAUUGAUGCAGUCCUGUGGUCGGCUGUCUGUUUGCAAUCGGGGACUGUCUUCAUCGGUGGAUUUUUGUUCAAGUACGAUGAUGUAGCUGCUAAUCAUCUCCUUGAAGGGCCCUUUUUUUGGGCAACCAGGAGAUUUUCUUUCGUGGUUGCCAGUUUUCUCUGCUCGUCAAUGCGAUUAUCAGUCUGAGUCCUUCGGAUGCUCUCGCAUCUCUUUUGGAUGGCUGUCCCAAUUUUAUUUGUUAUAUCUGGUUUCCUUUUGUUUCAUUAGGGGUAUAGGUUUUUGGUUUCACCUCACUUGUUAGAGGUUUAAACUUUUUUGUUAUACCUUACUUUUAACCUUUUUUUACAUAGUAAUAUAUGGGCUUUUACUCUCAUUUUCCCAAAAAAAAAA
This is a long non-coding RNA of Dendrobium catenatum, 4753 nucleotides long. RefSeq lists it as uncharacterized. The record is from RefSeq and is a predicted model, not a curated record. The transcript has 2 exons. NCBI's taxonomy places the organism in Eukaryota, Viridiplantae, Streptophyta, Magnoliopsida, Asparagales, Orchidaceae.